Molecule: long non-coding RNA, 1655 nt
Organism: Cloeon dipterum
Lineage: Eukaryota; Metazoa; Arthropoda; Insecta; Ephemeroptera; Baetidae
Exons: 12
Source: RefSeq, a predicted model, not a curated record
CUCUAAUUGCGACAUUCUGCUCUGAAAUGGACCCGCAAUGGACGCGCCAUUCUCUGUUGAUUGCGCUAACAUUUCUAGCCAUCUGCAUUGAACAGGUUGAAAUGAUCAGGUACAGAGGUAAUCGGAAGAUCAUCAUAAAAUGCUGUGGACGAAAGUCCUGCUCGAAAUUGCCUCUGAAAAGAGCAAAUCGAACAAUUAGCACACAAUCAACCAAACGGAAUUUCAUUUCCUCCUCAAAAUUUUCGACCGAAAGCUCGGAUGAAGGCGUUGAAAACCGUUCUGACGAUCCAAAAGCUGAAUUACAACCGGAAACAGUGAUCAUUCACGAAAGCACGGAAAUUUUCAUCUCGACACAUAAUAUGGUUGCGACGAACGCUGACAGUUCGAUGAGCGUUGAAAUAAGCACAAUUCCAUCAUCUACAUCUCCUCGUCCUGUAAUUUAUUUAACCAAAUAAGAAUUUUUGUCUCUAUUGUUUAUAUUUUUUUGUUCAAAUUGGGAAAUUGAGGAAACGACGACGCCAGCUGCACGUUGUUUCGCUCCCGCCUGCCCUCAGGAAAAUUGCACCAAAAAUGAUGCUUUGUUCUCUCGUGGACUUGACAACGUCACCAAGUAUCUUACAAAUCCUGCGCAGUACGGACUUUGGAAGAGCAGGAAUUUCCGUAUUUUCAUGUUUAGCCAUGAAUUUCGAACAUGGAAUGACGCGAGAAAGACCUGUUGUUCUAUAGGAAUGAAGCUUUUGAGCCUGGAUUUCGCUUACAAAUACUCUGUCUUGUCCCAAAUUCUUGGGGAUGAUAGCGCUGCCCUCGAAGCGAAAUUUUGGACUUGGGGCACAGAUAACGGUUGCCCCGGAGCAUUCGGCUGGUGCGCUGAGAACAAAGUGGUCAGGAAUGCGAUGUGGGCCAGAAACGAGCCUCGCGUCGGCGGCCACUGCCUCGCAGCGGAUGUCAGCAGCAAAAACACGACACUGAUGACUGCAGACUGCCGACUGGCUCUGCGAUUUAUUUGUGAAAUCCGGGACACGAGAAAUUCUACGAGCAAAGGAGAGGCCAUGAAAGACGAGUGCGCAGCCAAUUUGAACGUGUCAAUCGAUGAGCAGGACAACAUUUUCAACAGCUCAUCUUUCAGCGCAAGGACCAAGUGUUUCUUGCAAUGUUUGGGCGAGAGUGGAGGAAUUGUACAUAAUGGUCGCGUUGUGGACGAGCGCCUGAUAAAUUUGGCCAAAAUCACAUCACCCGCCGAUGACGUCACACAACUGAACACAAAUUUACAAGCUAUCGACGAGUGCUCCAAAUCCAGCAAGUUUUUAAUUACACCGGGGGCUGGGUUGCGAGCUGAUUUGGUUUUUCCGCCGGUCAGAAGUCAAUAUGGCGUCGAAAUUUAUAGUUGUUUGAUUAUACGCCCGUUUCGAAGCUGCGCAGUAAACUUGUGCGCAUCUCAAUCAUGCGCAGUAUGAUGAGAUCGCUUCUAAAUAUCUUUGAGAGGUCAAAACGCAUCACUGCGCAAGCGUGACCAAAAUCGAAACCUUCUGCGCACUCGUUAUUCCCACCAGGGGCUGGAUUGCGACCUGUGUUGGUUCCCGCCGGCCAGGAGUCAAAAUUUCGUCGAAAUAAUGGAGGCCAAUCAGGAGACAGUCCAGCAGCCAAUCGGAAGCGUC